CAGUUGGAAACAGCUGCUAAUACCGGAUACGAGACGGAGAGGCAUCUCUACCGUCUGGGAAAGAUUUAUCGGUCUGGGAUGGACUCGCGGCCUAUCAGCUUGUUGGUGAGGUAAAGGCUCACCAAGGCGACGACGGGUAGCCGGCCUGAGAGGGCGACCGGCCACACUGGGACUGAGACACGGCCCAGACUCCUACGGGAGGCAGCAGUGGGGAAUAUUGCACAAUGGGCGAAAGCCUGAUGCAGCGACGCCGCGUGAGGGAUGACGGCCUUCGGGUUGUAAACCUCUUUCAGCAGGGAAGAAGCGAAAGUGACGGUACCUGCAGAAGAAGCACCGGCUAACUACGUG
Molecule: ribosomal RNA, 348 nt
Filed under: uncultured bacterium
Lineage: Bacteria
Description: bacterial SSU rRNA
Rfam family: Bacterial small subunit ribosomal RNA
Source: RNAcentral